AACGAACGCUGGCGGCAUGCCUAACACAUGCAAGUCGAACGAGGCCUUCGGGUCUAGUGGCGCACGGGUGCGUAGCGCGUGGGAACCUGCCCUUAGGUUCGGAAUAACUCCCCGAAAGGGGUGCUAAUACCGGAUAAUGUCUUCGGACCAAAGAUUUAUCGCCUUUGGAUGGGCCCGCGUUGGAUUAGCUAGUUGGUAGGGUAAAAGCCUACCAAGGCGACGAUCCAUAGCUGGUCUGAGAGGAUGAUCAGCCACACUGGGACUGAGACACGGCCCAGACUCCUACGGGAGGCAGCAGUGGGGAAUAUUGGACAAUGGGCGAAAGCCUGAUCCAGCAAUGCCGCGUGAGUGAUGAAGGCCUUAGGGUUGUAAAGCUCUUUUACCCGGGAUGAUAAUGACAGUACCGGGAGAAUAAGCUCCGGCUAACUCCGUG
Molecule: ribosomal RNA, 433 nt
Filed under: uncultured bacterium
Lineage: Bacteria
Description: partial 16S ribosomal RNA
Rfam family: Bacterial small subunit ribosomal RNA
Source: RNAcentral